UACAGAACGAACGCUGGCGGCGUGCUUAACACAUGCAAGUCGAACGCGAAAGGGACUUCGGUCCUGAGUAAAGUGGCGCACGGGUGAGUAACGCGUAGAUAACCUGUCUUCAUGUCUGGAAUAAUACGCCGAAAGGGGUACUAAUACCGGAUAUUCUUGCUUUUCAUAAGUUAUGCAAGCAAAGGUGGCCUCUGCAUAUGCUACUGCAUGAAGAGGGGUCUGCGUACCAUUAGCUAGUAGGUGGGGUAAUGGCCUACCUAGGCGACGAUGGUUAGCGGGUCUGAGAGGAUGAUCCGCCACACUGGCACUGGAACACGGGCCAGACUCCUACGGGAGGCAGCAGUGAGGAAUAUUGCGCAAUGGGGGAAACCCUGACGCAGCGACGCCGCGUGAGUGAGGAAGGCCUUCGGGUCGUAAAGCUCUGUCAAGAGGAAAGAAGUGUACAAUGGCUAAUACCUGUUGUAUUUGACGGUACCUCUAAAGGAAGCACCGGCUAACUCCGUGCCAGCCGCCGC
Molecule: ribosomal RNA, 515 nt
Filed under: uncultured bacterium
Lineage: Bacteria
Description: bacterial SSU rRNA
Rfam family: Bacterial small subunit ribosomal RNA
Source: RNAcentral